This 522-nucleotide ribosomal RNA is filed under the name uncultured Glomeromycotina. RNAcentral describes it as "SSU rRNA". It matches the Rfam family "Eukaryotic small subunit ribosomal RNA", at positions 570 to 1094 of the family's 1831-position model. The record is from RNAcentral. Lineage: Eukaryota; Fungi; Glomeromycota.
GCAGCCGCGGUAAUUCCAGCUCCAAUAGCGUAUAUUAAAGUUGCUGCAGUUAAAAAGCUCGUAGUUGAAUUUCGGGACCAAUAUGUCGGUCGUGCCUCGGUACGUACUGGCAUCGUUGGUUUCUCCCUUCUGACGAACCAUGAUGUCAUUUAUUUGGUGUCGUGGGGAAUCAGGACUGUUACUUUGAAAAAAUUAGAGUGUUUAAAGCAGGCUCACGCUUGAAUACAUUAGCAUGGAAUAAUGAAAUAGGACGUUUGAUUCUAUUUUGUUGGUUUCUAGGAUCGACGUAAUGAUUAAUAGGGAUAGUUGGGGGCAUUAGUAUUCAAUUGUCAGAGGUGAAAUUCUUGGAUUUAUUGAAGACUAACUACUGCGAAAGCAUUUGCCAAGGAUGUUUUCAUUAAUCAAGAACGAAAGUUAGGGGAUCGAAGACGAUCAGAUACCGUCGUAGUCUUAACCAUAAACUAUGCCGACUAGGGAUCGGAUGAUGUUAAUUUUUUAAUGACUCAUUCGGCGCCUUACGGG